GGGUCUAUGGCUCAGUUGGUCAGAGCGCGCGCCUGAUAAGCGUGAGGUCGGUGGUUCGAAUCCACCUAGACCCACCA
RNAcentral lists this transfer RNA (77 nucleotides) under Acetohalobium arabaticum DSM 5501. RNAcentral describes it as "tRNA-Ile (GAT) (tRNA-Ile-GAT-1-1, tRNA-Ile-GAT-1-2)". It matches the Rfam family "tRNA". From Rfam's summary of the family: Transfer RNA (tRNA) molecules are approximately 80 nucleotides in length. Their secondary structure includes four short double-helical elements and three loops (D, anti-codon, and T loops). Further hydrogen bonds mediate the characteristic L-shaped molecular structure. tRNAs have two regions of fundamental functional importance: the anti-codon, which is responsible for specific mRNA codon recognition, and the 3' end, to which the tRNAs corresponding amino acid is attached (by aminoacyl-tRNA synthetases). tRNAs cope with the degeneracy of the genetic code in two manners: having more than one tRNA (with a specific anti-codon) for a particular amino acid; and 'wobble' base-pairing, i.e. permitting non-standard base-pairing at the 3rd anti-codon position. Lineage: Bacteria; Bacillati; Bacillota; Clostridia; Halanaerobiales; Halobacteroidaceae. The record is from RNAcentral.